RNAcentral lists this non-coding RNA (21 nucleotides) under Caenorhabditis elegans. The record is from RNAcentral. Lineage: Eukaryota; Metazoa; Nematoda; Chromadorea; Rhabditida; Rhabditidae.
UUACCAUGUAGUUCUUGGCAU